RNAcentral lists this ribosomal RNA (440 nucleotides) under uncultured bacterium. RNAcentral's name for it is "partial 16S ribosomal RNA". It matches the Rfam family "Bacterial small subunit ribosomal RNA", at positions 338 to 795 of the family's 1533-position model. The record is from RNAcentral.
CCUACGGGAGGCAGCAGUAGGGAAUAUUGCUCAAUGGGCGAAACCCUGAAGCAGCAACGCCGCGUGGAGGAUGAAGGUCUUAGGAUCGUAAACCUCUGUUGUUAGAGAAGAUUAUUACGUUUUCUAAUCAACACUCACUUGCCAACACCGUCCCAGCAGGCGCGGUAAUACGGAGGGCGCAAGCGUUACUCGGUAUGACUGGGCGUAAAGAGUGCGUAGGUGGUGUGAUAAGUCAGGCGUGAAAUCCACUUGCUUAACUAGAGAACUGCCUGUGAAACUGGUAAACUGGAGUGUGGGAGAGGUAGGUGGAAUUCCAGGUGUAGGAGUGAAAUCCGUAGAGAUCUGGAGGAACACUCGUGGCGAAGGCGACCAGCUGGAACAUAACUGACGCUGAGGAGCGAAAGCGUGGGUAGCAAACAGGAUUAGAUACCCGUGUAGUC